GGGGGGGGGUGUAAAAUGGAGGCGCAUAGUGGAGAGGAGAGAAAACGAACGCAGGGCUCGAACGUGUUGCAUCAGCGACAAGCAGACGCGUGUGUAUGGACGCGCUCGGGGGCUUUUUUUUCAUUCCAUCCGGACCAAUUUGGAGCGUUCGGUCGAGCAUGCAGAGGUUUAUGUCACAACACAGACACUCAUCCAAGAAUAGCCAUUCUGGAAGAAAAGAUGAGCUAUCCAAAAAAAACGCGUCUGUGAGCUGCUGCUGAAAUGCUCUAACUGCAUGUGAUGACGUGAGAGCUUCAAUUGGGCCA
Hippocampus zosterae (dwarf seahorse) is the source of this 305-nucleotide long non-coding RNA. RefSeq lists it as uncharacterized. The transcript has 3 exons. The record is from RefSeq and is a predicted model, not a curated record. Lineage: Eukaryota; Metazoa; Chordata; Actinopteri; Syngnathiformes; Syngnathidae.